This 91-nucleotide transfer RNA is filed under the name Lysobacter sp. RNAcentral describes it as "tRNA-Ser". It matches the Rfam family "Proteobacterial sRNA sX4", at positions 15 to 105 of the family's 167-position model. The record is from RNAcentral. Lineage: Bacteria; Pseudomonadati; Pseudomonadota; Gammaproteobacteria; Lysobacterales; Lysobacteraceae. RNAcentral also lists the same sequence under 14 other names.
GGAGAGGUGGCAGAGCGGUUGAAUGUACCUGACUCGAAAUCAGGCGUGCGUUUAUAGCGCACCGAGGGUUCGAAUCCCUCCCUCUCCGCCA